GUUUCUGUAGUGUAGUGGUUAUCACGUUCGCCUUACACGCGAAAGGACCCUGGUUCGAAACCAGGCACAAACA
Molecule: transfer RNA, 73 nt
Filed under: Phalacrocorax carbo (great cormorant)
Lineage: Eukaryota; Metazoa; Chordata; Aves; Suliformes; Phalacrocoracidae
Rfam family: tRNA
About the family: Transfer RNA (tRNA) molecules are approximately 80 nucleotides in length. Their secondary structure includes four short double-helical elements and three loops (D, anti-codon, and T loops). Further hydrogen bonds mediate the characteristic L-shaped molecular structure. tRNAs have two regions of fundamental functional importance: the anti-codon, which is responsible for specific mRNA codon recognition, and the 3' end, to which the tRNAs corresponding amino acid is attached (by aminoacyl-tRNA synthetases). tRNAs cope with the degeneracy of the genetic code in two manners: having more than one tRNA (with a specific anti-codon) for a particular amino acid; and 'wobble' base-pairing, i.e. permitting non-standard base-pairing at the 3rd anti-codon position.
Source: Rfam by way of RNAcentral